Long non-coding RNA from Triplophysa dalaica, 6012 nucleotides. RefSeq lists it as uncharacterized. Lineage: Eukaryota; Metazoa; Chordata; Actinopteri; Cypriniformes; Nemacheilidae. The transcript has 3 exons. The record is from RefSeq and is a predicted model, not a curated record.
AAAAGAGAAACCUUUGAGGAGAUAGGAUUGUAGUAACAUUCAUUUCAUUUUAUAGUUUUUCUUUUUUAAUGUUAUAGUUUAGCAAAAUGUUGCAAGUAUGAACAUUAGCAAAAUUUUAAGAAAAAGGAAACAAUGUAAUCUGAAUACAAAACUGGCACUCAGCUUUUGUCGGACCAUUUUUUCUAUUUUACUAAAAUAUCUAUACCUAUUAAAAAACAAUUAUUAUGCUAACAUAUUAAAUUAUUAAUAAGUUGUGUAGUAUAUUUUGGAAAAAGUGCAUUAUUGGACAAUAAUGGAUUUAUGGUUUUAGAUAUAUUUUUUUAAUGAAUACAUAUGAAUAGUUAUAAACCUUACCAUGUGUCCUAUGGUGUGACACUAAAAAUGUAUAAAACAAAUAUAUAUAUUUCCUUUAAAAUGUAAUAAUUUUUUUGUGUUAUUAAUAUUUAUUUUUAUAUUAUAUAAUAGCAUAAGAGAAAUGUAGUUUAGUUUAAUUCUAAAUUUUUGCUUUUUCACAUCAUGGGACACAUUUGUCAACUACCCGAAUAUAAACAAGUCAUUUUAUCCAUUACUUCAUCCUUGGAUUGGAUUUUUUAGUUGUUGAUAAAUAUCCAUUUUAUAAUAUUUAGGCCUACCUGUUUUGAAUCAUAUUGUAUGUGUUUCCCCAAUUCCUAUUUCUUAUAUAAUUUCAGUGUUUCUGUAGCUCAACUGUUAGUGGACAAAAUAAAAUUGUAAAGCUUAAAAAAGCAUAAUGCAUAAUACAUACAGUCACUAAAAAAAUGUGUACGUCUUUUGUGUCUUACUUAAAACACAACAUCUGAAACACCGUAUGACUGCAUUUUUAUUUACACGUCUCGAAUGUGUAUGUGCAAAAGGCCGGCACCAUAGGGUGUGUUUUUAUUCGUGUGUGUUCCCACAGCCGUGUCUCUGACAUGUUCCGGUACCUGCUAAUCACCCGGAUUUUGUGUUUCAUCUCAUAUGAGUCAGUUGUUCACAGCCAUUUCUCAGCAUUAGAAAUCUGCAUCAUGUUUCAACACACUGACUCUCAGCCCUCAUAAAUUACACAGUUAUGGCAACUUAAACAAGUGCUGAAAAGCCACGAACAGAGCUUUACUUUACCAUCAGUGAAGCAUAAGACUCCACCAUCACACACACACACACACACACACACAGAGACACACACACUUACAGUAGCACCCGCCAGCUUCCAUGCUACUCAAAUAAACAAAGAUUAAUAAUUGAAUAAUGUUCAAUUUAGGACAACAAAUGACUGAUAAAAGUGGUCAGACACCUCUGGAAUAUCUACUACUGUUUUAUACCAACUUUCCACUAUUUUCUUUAAAUCCAGAGUAAACACAUAUCAAAUUUAUAAUAAGUGUCUUAACACCAUCACAUUACUUAAAUUGUUUCAUUUCACUUGUUACCGGAUGCCAGGAAUGUUACAUGGGUGUGGGGAACUCUAUUUAUAAAAACACAUUUGCAAAAUAAUAGUCAGCAUUAAAAUGCUAAUUUAAAUAAAUACGAAUACAUUGGGUUUUCAAAAAUGAAAUAGUAAGAAAAUAAUCAAAAGUUGAAAACAAAAUUCCAAAAUAUAAUAUAACGAGGUAAAACACAUGUUUUUUUGUGGAACAUACUGUAGAAAACUGUGUCAUGUGACAGGAGGCAGGAGUAGAAACGCUCUGAUUGGCUGAUUACACAGGGGUACUUCAUGUCAUGUCUGAUUCUGUAAUGACAGUUUGUAAACUCAGAAUUUUCUAACAGCUCUGACAUUUACCAUCUGACCGCCUUCAACAUCUUUGCAUUAAAGAGUGUUGACUUUAGGAAUAAAAUGUAACAGUUAACUUUUAAUAUUUUGGUUAAAUGAUUCCAAAUAUGACUUUUAUCAAUUUAAUCUCAUGUUUUAACACAAAUUUCAUGUAAAUAUAAAUGAAAGACAUACAAUCUAUAGUGUUGUAACCAGAGAAACCGAUAAUUCCAAGAAUGUGAAGAGCUUGUCACGGGUUGUCACCUGUAAUUACUGUAAAUAUUACAGUAAAUAGGACACAGAGCCAACGACCACCUAUGAUGUUCUCAACAAUGUGCUUUAAUCUGACGAAAAUGGAAAGUGAUUUACUUACCCAAUCUGGUUUCACGUCCAAAUCGACAUAAAAAGAGUGAGCCAGUUUUUAAGAGAUACAUUAAAUGUAUACCAAAAUUUACUGCAGUAAGUGCACAUGUAGAAGCAUUGGUAUUUUUUGCAGGAAAUGUUUUCGUUUUUUUUGCAAUUUAUUCAAUUUAUUUUAUGUUUAGGUGCCUAUAAUUAUAUUUUCAUUACAAAAAUACAAGUCUACUUUUGUGUUUAUUAAAUUAUUUUUGUUAUAUAAAAAACGUUGACACUUUAAUGCCUUAGUUAACAAAAAAAUAAAUAAAUAUAUACCACAAACCACUUAUAGUAACAAUUACACCUACACUCACAAAACCACAAAGCAACAUAUUCAAAGCAUUAGUAUCACCAUGAUUUUACAUAUUAACUGUGAAAAAAACAUUCAAAUGUAAUGUUUUGGCAAAAUCUUUGUCUCAGGUUCCUACUACAAUAACUGGUGAGGGCUGAUCAAUGCAAACAUUGAGGUCUUUUUUGCCUAAUAUACAGAAUGAGACACACAUUCAUGUGACAGAAUAGGGGCAAAACAACAUCACAGUUGAAUAAAUUAAGUGGUUUUUCUCAAAUGUUAAUGAUUUUAAAUAAUUCAGGCCCAUUUGUAGCAUUAGCAAAACUUUUAUUUUCCAAACUCUGUUCCUGUUUUGAGUUGUUUAUUGCAACGGCAAUGAUAUUUUCUCUAUGAUGCAUCGCAACCUUUGUUAGAGUGAAAAAAAACUCCUAAAACAAAUAUUAAAUCCAGAAUAAAAAUCCAGCGGGAUUUUUAUAAAAUUAGUGCUAAUCUGGUUCUCAGCAUUUCUAGUUGUUUUAACAAAUGUAGUCCACCCAAAAUUAUGAUCAGAUCUUUGAUAACUAAAACCGAUCAGUGGUGGACCCAUUUAAUAUUGUUUAAAUCUCGUGAGUUACAUAGAUAACGCUUUGUGUGUAAAUUCUUUGGUGUCAAUAUUGGUGCCAAACUUUGAUAAUAGAAUGAGCAUUUAUUCUCUUUCCGACAAGUAAUCUCAUUGUCAUCACAACCUUUUACUUCACUUUCGUUCCCAUCAAACAAAUGAGACAUGCAAAUCUCGUAACGUUUUCAUUGACUGCUUCUCAUUUGUGCGGCACGGUGACAUCAAUCAGAUAUAAUUAGCACAAACUGGGCCCAUAUCAGAACCAUUAUACUCGAGGCAUUGUCCUAGAAAUGGCAAUCUUGACCUCUUACUUCUCCCCCACUUUCGUCCUUAAACGACAACACAUGCAAAGGUGAAGCCCCGGCACAGAGAUACGAUACGCGGCACGAUUACAGAGCAACAAAACGCCGAAAAGCCACGUGAAAGUAUCUAAAUGAGCAUACAGUACACCAUACAAUGGGAAUUAAACGCGCGGGGCAGCUGGACUCUUAUCUGAACGAAACCGAGCAACAAAGGAUCCCUAAGACUAAGAGGCUUGAUGCAUGAGAAAGCUAUGGGCCAGCUAUUGUGACUGCCCUUCUGCUGAGCAAAUAGUCCAAACUGUUCAUUCCCCGUCUUCCAUUCUCUCGCCGGCACAUUGUUUGUGUCCUUGCAUUUCAUUCGGCAAGGAAGAUUGCUCUCAGGCCCAGUGAGCAAACAGUCCAGAAAAGAGCCGGCUAUCUUCUGCUGUUCCCAGGAGAACUAGCAUUUUGAUUUGGGCUCCAAGCUGUCAGAGGAUUGGAGAGUUGAUGUCAGGGCGCCUGAAUUAAUUGCUUUAAGCCGAGGAGGGGGCUGACUGCGUUUAUCGCCAACUGUUCAGUGACAUGUUUCCUAGCAAUUACGCCCUCGGAAUUGUCGGCACUUAUAUUUCGUAUACGUGACGUGUCAGUCUUGUCGCGUUUCCAUUUCUGUUGCAUUCUACGUCAGUCGCCCAAGAAACGCCACUAUUAGCAUUUUCUGCUUGCACACGCAGUCCAGUUAGAAAAACAUUUGUAUUUGUCGUAAAGCCCAAAGCCGGCACUUCAAGCACCAUUUAACAUCGUAAAUUAUUUUGUACAGAGUAGCGUUGUACGUGACCGUUUCAAUUGUCUCUUCUUGUCAUUCCCUAUACUAGCUCCAACGCAUGGUGUGUUUGCAUUGUCAAAUUAUUAUGUUUCUAUAUCUAAGCGCCUCUGAGACAUAUCAAUCAAAUCCGCCAUCGGAUCCCGUCGUCAUUUUAAGUCGGCCUCCAACAAUGCGUUGCUUUGCAUGUAAAAAUGGCUCUGUGGGUAAUUUGCAUCGGUAUAGUCGGAGAACGGUCUAUGGGAAGAGUGACCUUAGCGAUGGGUUGGGCCUUUUUAACGUCCCGGCACACAGUUAUGGUAACGGUUGUUGGGAAUAAUAUGCCACACAAAGCCUUUUUACAGUCGUGUUUCUCGUUUCCAAACACGAAUAUCACAUGCACUGAUUUAUCUCUAAGGUUAUUCCGGCUUUUAAUUCAUCUCAAGGGCCUUGUUAACGCUCUCGCUGCUUGAUUGUCAUCACCUUUACAAAUUGGAAAACAAAGGCUUGUAAUCGUAUACAGAUCAUAAAUCAGAUGGCACGACAAUAAAGGCAGCUCUUGAUCUGAUGGGAAAUUGAAUUAAAUGGUCCGUCUUGUCGCUGUCAGCGUCGAGAAGAGAGGGGUUAAAUAAUGUGUGUCAGGGGACUGCUUCUGUGUAAAAUAUCUUCUAACCUACCGCAGGCUUUUUAAAGGGCAUUAAUCUCUUCGUGAUAAAUGCAUUUAUGCCGGAUUAAAUUGAAGAUUGCGUUUAGUUUGAGAGAGGGUUGAAUUAUGUGGGUGUGAGUUGGGGGAUUUACCUCAACAGCUCUCGUGUGGGAGUCUCCGGGGACGCGGUGGAGACGAGUAGAGAUCCUGGAUACGUGUUUACUAGCUGCUUAAAUUUGCCCGUCGACAGGCAGAAUUAUUGAAUCAACCUGUCACGUUUGCUCUCGUCUACUUUUGUUAUGUGGUAUUACAAAAGCCUUCAUGAGAUCUUUAUAAAGUUGCACAUUUCAACGAUAUCAUUACCCAGAGGUCCCACAGCCAGAUUAUUUCCAUCUAUGUGUCCUCCGUGAAUGCUUGGAGGGAAAUUUCCUCAUGAAUGUUUUAUGAAUUUGUCCAUCACCCUUCAAACUACAAGCACCUCGAUGUAAAAAAAAUGCAGAAGUCACCUUUAGACACGUAGCAUAAAUUGGACAAGCUCCAUCUCGGAAUAACCUAUUGCCUUUACCAUUCCGGCAUUGGGAACACAUGCAGGACAAAAUCUGAUUCGCUUUUGUUAUGCAGAGAAUCGCGCAGGGGCAUCUGGGCUUGUUUGCCUUUGGUGAGAAAUGGAGAUUGGUUUGGAGGUCUGAAUGAAUUGCUGGCGUCUGUGUUUAUUGCUUUCAUUAAGAUUUAAUGAGUCAAGUGUCCUUCGCACUGACAUAGAUUUUACCCACAGCAUUUGACCGCAGGAAAUGUUGGGUGAGACUAUUGGCAUUCCAGGUAAAUGUGUAUGUUAAUGGCGGGAGCCUACAAGUCAUUUCAUUUGCAAUAUAUAUUUUUCAGAUGUAAAAACAAAUCCAUGGCCGUGAAAGCAAGAAUGUGGUUUGGCCUGUGUCUCUCAACAACAAUUUCACACCAUGCUGCCGGGGCGAGUCCAUGAAGAAGAUUUUGUCUUCUGGUGUGGUGGGUUCCUCCGAGUCGUCCAGGCCUCGACUGCUGUCGCUGUUCACAUCGCUGCUGUCCACCUCCAUUGUGGCAUCAGAGUCUGGACCCGGACUGGCCGGUUCUGAAAACAACGACAUGAUGAGUGUGAAGGAAAGAGAGAGCGAUACGCACCCUUGCACUGCAUGCCCUGACGGAAGAGUCCUUUCAGCAGUUUUUUACAGUACUGACAGAUGGUGGGCCGGGUGUAGUUGUGAAUGACAAAAGUGUGAGGCACCUUC